Molecule: small nucleolar RNA, 124 nt
Filed under: Pelusios castaneus (West African mud turtle)
Lineage: Eukaryota; Metazoa; Chordata; Testudines; Pelomedusidae
Description: Small nucleolar RNA SNORA24 (ENSPCEG00000018144.1)
Rfam family: Small nucleolar RNA SNORA24
About the family: ACA24 is a member of the H/ACA class of snoRNA that guide the sites of modification of uridines to pseudouridines.
Source: Rfam by way of RNAcentral
GUCCAUGAAUCCGUGGGACCUGCCGCCUGUGGCAGUCUCCCUUCCUAGCCAUGGAAGAGCAGCGUCUCGCUUUUGGCAUAGCUGGCUCCCCUCUGAUUGGAGUCAGGCUCUGACUGGAGCGAGG